Molecule: ribosomal RNA, 598 nt
Filed under: Ocyptamus sp. CR-41
Lineage: Eukaryota; Metazoa; Arthropoda; Insecta; Diptera; Syrphidae
Also listed under: 1 other name
Description: eukaryotic LSU rRNA
Source: RNAcentral
AGUACGUGAAACUGCUUAGAGGUUAAACCCGAUGAACCUGAAUAUCCAUUAUGGAAAAUUCAAUACUAAUGUUAAAAUGUUUUAUUACAUUUAAAAAAUAGUGUGCAAUUUUUCCAUAUAAGGACAUUGUAAUCUGUUAAUGUCAUAAAUAUUUAUCAAAAGAUUUAAUACUCAAAGUUUAUUUAAAUUGUUUAUUUUCGGAUAUUCAACAUAAAAUAAAUGUAUUUAAAUUGGAUAAAUCAUUGACAGAUAUAAUUAUAUAAUGUGCUUAAAUUCUUUAUUUAGAAUUUAGCAAUAAUAUUUAAAUCUAUUGAUUUAUAAUAUUUAUUUGCCUGUACUAUUAUGAUUAACAAUGCGAUAGAUUCAGGAUACCUUCGGGACCCGUCUUGAAACACGGACCAAGGAGUCUAACAUAUGUGCAAGUCAUUGGGUAUUUUUAAUAAAACCCAAUGGCAUAAUUAACUUAACUUUUUUAUAUAUGGGAUUAAUUUAUAAUUUUUUUUAUUAAAAAUUAUUUAUUCAAUCCCGGGGCGUUCUAUAUAGUUAUGUAUGAUAAUAUUUAUAUUAUUUAUACCUCUAACUAGAGCGUACCUUGAGC